Molecule: ribosomal RNA, 460 nt
Filed under: uncultured bacterium
Lineage: Bacteria
Description: partial 16S ribosomal RNA
Rfam family: Bacterial small subunit ribosomal RNA
Source: RNAcentral
CCUACGGGUGACAGCAGUGAGGAAUAUUGGUCAAUGGACGAGAGUCUGAACCAGCCAAGUAGCGUGAAGGAUGACUGCCCUAUGGGUUGUAAACUUCUUUUAUAUGGGAAUAAAAUGGUCCACGUGUGGGAUUUUGUAUGUACCAUAUGAAUAAGGAUCGGCUAACUCCGUGCCAGCAGCCGCGGUAAUACGGAGGAUCCGGGCGUUAUCCGGAUUUAUUGGGUUUAAAGGGAGCGUAGGUGGAUUGUUAAGUCAGUUGUGAAAGUUUGCGGCUCAACCGUAAAAUUGCAGUUGAAACUGGCAGUCUUGAGUACAGUAGAGGUGGGCGGAAUUCGUGGUGUAGCGGUGAAAUGCUUAGAUAUCACGAAGAACUCCGAUUGCGAAGGCAGUUCACUGGACUGCAACUGACACUGAGGCUCGAAAGUGUGGGUAUCAAACAGGAUUAGAUACCCCUGUAGUC